RNAcentral lists this ribosomal RNA (623 nucleotides) under uncultured bacterium. Its description in RNAcentral is "bacterial SSU rRNA". The stretch from base 1 to 540 matches the Rfam family "Bacterial small subunit ribosomal RNA", at positions 338 to 873 of the family's 1533-position model. The record is from RNAcentral.
CCUACGGGAGGCAGCAGUGGGGAAUUUUGGACAAUGGGCGAAAGCCUGAUCCAGCAAUGCCGCGUGAGUGAAGAAGGCCUUCGGGUUGUAAAGCUCUUUUGUCAGGGAAGAAACGGUGAAAGCUAAUAUCUUUUGCUAAUGACGGUACCUGAAGAAUAAGCACCGGCUAACUACGUGCCAGCAGCCGCGGUAAUACGUAGGGUGCAAGCGUUAAUCGGAAUUACUGGGCGUAAAGCGUGCGCAGGCGGUUUUGUAAGUCUGAUGUGAAAUCCCCGGGCUCAACCUGGGAAUUGCAUUGGAGACUGCAAGGCUAGAAUCUGGCAGAGGGGGGUAGAAUUCCACGUGUAGCAGUGAAAUGCGUAGAUAUGUGGAGGAACACCGAUGGCGAAGGCAGCCCCCUGGGUCAAGAUUGACGCUCAUGCACGAAAGCGUGGGGAGCAAACAGGAUUAGAUACCCUGGUAGUCCACGCCCUAAACGAUGUCUACUAGUUGUCGGGUCUUAAUUGACUUGGUAACGCAGCUACGCGUGAGUAGACCGCGUGGAGGUACGGUCGCGAGAAGUUAAACGUUAAAGUAGUAGUAGACGCGAGAGAGACGACGACGACGACGACGGAGGGAGGAGG